CAACACAUAGCAGCUAAAGGCCCAAAGCUCCCAUAACUCGCUCAGUCAAGAGCUCAAGACUCCCGCACACUCCAAAGGUCAAACCUAACCCUAGCACUCGGCGCGGUGGCGGCGGCGGCGUUUGGCGAGCGUGGCGGAGGUCGCGGAGCUGCGGGUUGUGGCAUAGCGUCCCAGCAUUUGGAGACACAAGCGCAGCGCCGGCGAGCAAAGCGAGAUGCAUUCGUGGCUUCGCGCGGUGUCUGCGAGCGGGGGUGUGGGUGCGCACGUGCGGAAGAUCAACGAGCGAGGAGCUGCUGCUCGUGGGGGAGAAGAUGGUGACGAUCUCUGGCAGUGGUGGAAGUGGAACGAUUGUGGGAUGGCAAGAGCGGAGCAUGUGGCAUGGGAGUGGGCUGCGGCGCGUGCACCAGUGCGGAGCCGAACCGUGGAGGAAAAGAGGGAGGGAGUGGGACCCACUUGUCGGCACGCGUGGGGAUGGUUCUAAUCCUAUACAAUUUUGAUGUAAAAAUAUUAAGUACCAAGUAGGAUUGUGAAAAGACCAUUAGAUCCAUGACCCAUUACCACUCCUA
Molecule: long non-coding RNA, 566 nt
Organism: Panicum virgatum (switchgrass)
Lineage: Eukaryota; Viridiplantae; Streptophyta; Magnoliopsida; Poales; Poaceae
Exons: 2
Source: RefSeq, a predicted model, not a curated record